GUUCAGUCCUCCCAGGCCCACCAUUCCUUUCGACACGAAGGUUAUCAGGGGCCGUAGCUCAGCUGGGAGAGCGCCUGCUUUGCAAGCAGGAUGUCGUCGGUUCGAUCCCGUCCGGCUCCACCAACCAUCUUCUGCGAAGAUGGGGCGUGUCGAGUAGAGACGGUGAGAAAAAAGUCAUUCGAAAAAGAGUUUGCGUCGAGCCUCUUGGCUCUGCGCCUGUUCUGUUUGACAUCGUAAAGAGAAGAUUUGUUCGAACUUCAUGAGCCGCAAGGUCUCAUGAUUUGUCGCAAGGGACGCUCAAUCCCUUGCCUAUGAUGGGUUUGCCUAACCGCGCCCUCGAACGGAUCUCGAGAAGCUGGUCUUUUUGUGCCAAUUCCAACCAGUAAUACCCCGCACAGGGUGUUGCUGGAGCGACGAUCCUUCGGAUCGCGCUUAGCCAAUCCUGCAAGGGCGAGGCUGAAGCGACGAUCCCCGCGGGAUCGCGCGAUGAUGGGUAUUGGCAAUGAGAACGAUCAAGUGUCUUAAGGGCAAUUGGUGGAUGCCUUGGCAUGCACAGGCGAUGAAGGACGUGAUACGCUGCGAUAAGCUACGGGGAGGUGCGAAUACCCUUUGAUCCGUAGAUCUCCGA
Molecule: unclassified non-coding RNA, 628 nt
Filed under: Mesorhizobium sp. LCM 3715
Lineage: Bacteria; Pseudomonadati; Pseudomonadota; Alphaproteobacteria; Hyphomicrobiales; Phyllobacteriaceae
Description: partial 16S-23S ribosomal RNA intergenic spacer
Rfam family: Bacterial large subunit ribosomal RNA (bases 511-628)
Source: RNAcentral